Molecule: ribosomal RNA, 602 nt
Filed under: uncultured Peptococcaceae bacterium
Lineage: Bacteria; Bacillati; Bacillota; Clostridia; Eubacteriales; Peptococcaceae
Description: bacterial SSU rRNA
Rfam family: Bacterial small subunit ribosomal RNA
Source: RNAcentral
ACCGGGAAACUGGUGCUAAUACCGGAUACGCUCAUCUAUACACAUGUAUAGAUGAGGAAAGGAGAAAUCCGCAGGUAGAUGGGUCCGCGUCCCAUUAGCUAGUUGGCGGUGUAAAAGACCACCAAGGCGACGAUGGGUAGCCGGCCUGAGAGGGUGGACGGCCACACUGGAACUGAGACACGGUCCAGACUCCUACGGGAGGCAGCAGUGGGGAAUCUUCCGCAAUGGGCGAAAGCCUGACGGAGCAACGCCGCGUGAGUGAGGAAGGCCUUCGGGUCGUAAGGCUCUGUCUUCAGGGAAGAAAAAAAUGACGGUACCUGAGGAGGAAGCCCCGGCUAACUACGUGCCAGCAGCCGCGGUAAAACGUAGGGGGCGAGCGUUGUCCGGAAUUACUGGGCGUAAAGGGCGCGUAGGCGGUUAUUUAAGUCAGAGGUGAAAACUGUGGGCUCAACCCACAGCCUGCCUUUGAAACUGGAUGACUUGAGGGCAAGAGAGGGGAGUGGAAUUCCCAGUGUAGCGGUGAAAUGCGUAGAUAUUGGGAGGAACACCAGUGGCGAAGGCGGCUCUCUGGCCUGUUUCUGACGCUGAGGCGCGAAAGCGUG